This is a long non-coding RNA of Peromyscus eremicus (cactus mouse), 1541 nucleotides long. RefSeq lists it as uncharacterized. NCBI's taxonomy places the organism in Eukaryota, Metazoa, Chordata, Mammalia, Rodentia, Cricetidae. The record is from RefSeq and is a predicted model, not a curated record. The transcript has 3 exons.
UUCUCAUGGGGGUGCCAAGACAAGCUAUGGCCACUCCUAUGCCUGGUCUCCCUUUGUUCCCUCCAGCUGCUCUGUCACCUAUAGCAUGUCAUCAAUGAGUGGGGCCUGACCACACUGCUGUCAUCAGUUAAAAUUCUAUUGGACAUCAGCAUCCUAGAAACACCUGAAAUCAGGAGGUAUAGACCGAGGGAAAAGAAGGCUAACAAGCAGCAAGGUUUCGAAGGGGUCAUGUAUUUAAAGGGAUAUGUGAGGACUCAUCAUGACUGUGGCUUACAGUUUAUUUUGUCUUGAAAACGUCUGAGGUCAUUCUAACUAUGCUGACCUGUGAACUCGACAUGAUCACCCAUCUGAGACUGCAAGCAAACACUGCCCUCUUGUGCACCAAACAGCUCCAACCAGCAGCACAGGGUGUAUCUACCCACAUCCAGUAGAUGGCUUAGGGGUAGAGCUGGUUUUCUCCGCUGGGGACUUGUCAGGAAGAGGAUGACACACAUCUGUUACCAGAGUAUUUGCUGCAUGUCCCCAGAUUGCCUUCUGAGGCAGAUUUUGAGAUAAGAAGAGGGAAGACUCAGUUGGAGAAAUCAGACCGAAUGCAAUGGAUUCUUAUGGUUUCUAGGAAACACUCACCGCUCUAAAAGCUGUUGGUUGUCAUGGGAACUUUUAUUAUGUACUUGAAAAACUUUUAGAAAUGAUUGAUGAACUUAAAAUAAUGAGUAAGUAGUACUUUCAUUUAUCUAAGAAAUCUUGCAGGGGAAAAAAAAAACCUCAUUUGGUUCCAGAGCAGAAAAGGGAACAAGAGCCCCUCAGGUUACUUUUGCUCUGGUGACUCCCCCGAAGCACAGACACAAGCACUUCCUGGAGACAGAAGACCAAGCUGGCAUCUCAAGAAAGCUCGAAGGAUGUCUGUUACUGUUCCCUUGUUUUGAGAAAAGGGAACUAGAGGUGUAGCUCAGUGGCAGAGUGUAUCCCACACCUAAGUUCCAUAAGCCAGUACUGCAAAAAAACAACACGAAGAACUUAAGGAAAGGAUAGAAGAUACCCACACGAAUCUGAGACCAGUACCAUCUGCUCAGCAGCAAAGCUCGGAGGAAGGAGCUGGGCAUCUCUGAAAUCAGCUUCCAGUUCUGUUCUAAACAACGAAUCAUCAGAACGUCAGCACCCACUCUUCUACCUCAUGGGUAAAGCUGGGAGAGCAAACCAUAGCAAUCUUGGUUCUCCUGAAAAGGGCAGCUGUGAGGAUUAAGAAAAGAAUAACGAAACAGGCCAUGCACCAACCCGAAGAACAGCACCAGAUAACUGACACCUGCAUUCAUCACUUCCGACCCAGAGCACCACCAGGACUUCAUCUGAGCCAUAAGGAAGAUGAAAUCCAGUUUUCAUACAGAAAGGAGUCUUGUUCUGGAGUUCAUCUAGGAAACAACGGGAUCAGAGGGCGGGCUCUAACGUGAGAGGCCAUCAUUUGACGCUAUCACCAUGGACUCAGUUGUUGUGAUGGUCUCCUCCAGUGGACCAAGGGUCUGAACCACUCAGUAAACCCCUCA